GUGCCUAAUACAUGCAAGUCGAACGAAACUUUCUUACACCGAAUGCUUGCAUUCACCGUAAGAAGUUGAGUGGCGGACGGGUGAGUAACACGUGGGUAACCUGCCUAAAAGAAGGGGAUAACACUUGGAAACAGGUGCUAAUACCGUAUAUCUCUAAGGAUCGCAUGAUCCUUAGAUGAAAGAUGGUUCUGCUAUCGCUUUUAGAUGGACCCGCGGCGUAUUAACUAGUUGGUGGGGUAACGGCCUACCAAGGUGAUGAUACGUAGCCGAACUGAGAGGUUGAUCGGCCACAUUGGGACUGAGACACGGCCCAAACUCCUACGGGAGGCAGCAGUAGGGAAUCUUCCACAAUGGACGCAAGUCUGAUGGAGCAACGCCGCGUGAGUGAAGAAGGUCUUCGGAUCGUAAAACUCUGUUGUUAGAGAAGAACACGAGUGAGAGUAACUGUUCAUUCGAUGACGGUAUCUAACCAGCAAGUCACGGCUAACUACGUGCC
Molecule: ribosomal RNA, 496 nt
Filed under: Ligilactobacillus salivarius
Lineage: Bacteria; Bacillati; Bacillota; Bacilli; Lactobacillales; Lactobacillaceae
Description: bacterial SSU rRNA
Rfam family: Bacterial small subunit ribosomal RNA
Source: RNAcentral